CUGCUGCCUCCCGUAGGAGUCUGAUCCGUGUCUCAGUACCAGUGUGGGGGACCUUCCUCUCAGAACCCCUACGCAUCGUCGGUUAGGUGGGCCGUUACCCCGCCUACUGCCUAAUGCGCCGCAUGCCCAUCCCUGUCCGGCCGAAGCCUUUCCUGCCUCCGGGAUGCCCCGGUGGCAUGUACGCGGGUUUAGCCCGCCUUUCGGCGGGUUGUCCCCCUGACAGGGGCAGGUUGCAUACGUGUUACUCACCCGUGCGCCGGUCGCCGGCGGAAG
RNAcentral lists this ribosomal RNA (273 nucleotides) under uncultured bacterium. Its description in RNAcentral is "partial 16S ribosomal RNA". The record is from RNAcentral.